RNAcentral lists this ribosomal RNA (860 nucleotides) under uncultured bacterium. RNAcentral's name for it is "bacterial SSU rRNA". It matches the Rfam family "Bacterial small subunit ribosomal RNA", at positions 42 to 900 of the family's 1533-position model. The record is from RNAcentral.
GCGUGCCUAAUACAUGCAAGUCGAACGAAUCUCUUUUAGAGAUGAGUGGCGAACGGGUGAGUAAUACAUAGGUAACCUGCCCCUGUGCGGGGGAUAACAGGAGGAAACUCCUGCUAAUACCGCAUAGCCAUGAGCACCGCAUGGAGCUCAUGCCAAAUAUCCUUUCGGGGAUAGCGCAGGGAUGGACCUAUGGCGCAUUAGCUGGUUGGCGGGGCAACGGCCCACCAAGGCAACGAUGCGUAGCCGGCCUGAGAGGGCGGACGGCCACAUUGGGACUGAGACACGGCCCAGACUCCUACGGGAGGCAGCAGUAGGGAAUUUUCGGCAAUGGGGGAAACCCUGACCGAGCAACGCCGCGUGAGCGAAGAAGGCCUUCGGGUCGUAAAGCUCUGUUGUAAAGGAAGAACGGCGCAUACAGGAAAUGGUAUGCGAGUGACGGUACUUUACCAGAAAGCCACGGCUAACUACGUGCCAGCAGCCGCGGUAAUACGUAGGUGGCGAGCGUUAUCCGGAAUCAUUGGGCGUAAAGAGGGAGCAGGCGGCCGCAAGGGUCUGUGGUGAAAGACCGAAGCUAAACUUCGGUAAGCCAUGGAAGCCGGGCGGCUAGAGUGCGGAAGAGGAUCGUGGAAUUCCAUGUGUAGCGGUGAAAUGCGUAGAUAUAUGGAGGAACACCAGUGGCGAAGGCGACGGUCUGGGCCGCAACUGACGCUCAUUCCCGAAAGCGUGGGGAGCAAAUAGGAUUAGAUACCCUAGUAGUCCACGCCGUAAACGAUGGUCACUAAGUGUCGGGGGUCAAACCCCGGUGCUGCAGUCAACGCAAUAAGUGACCCGCCUGAGUAGUACGUUCGCAAGAAUGAAAC